This 549-nucleotide long non-coding RNA is filed under the name Callithrix jacchus (white-tufted-ear marmoset). RNAcentral describes it as "lncRNA (ENSCJAG00000062551.2)". The record is from RNAcentral. Lineage: Eukaryota; Metazoa; Chordata; Mammalia; Primates; Cebidae.
CCAUUGUGGGCAUGAUUCUCUCUAGACCUUCCUUGUGUCUUUUGUCCUCACCCAAAAGAAGGAUCUGUAGGAGCUAAGUUUAGCUUAAGCACAGAAAUCACUUUGAAGCAGGUAGGGUUACCUGCUUCAAAUGAGCUACCUGGGCCACCCUGCCCAUACCUCAGGGCCUUCCUCUUGCCUCAGCUGGGGCCACUCGACACUUUCCUGCCCCUCUGUGUCUUUUCAGGAACCAGAAAUGCCUAGCUGCAGGGAUUCAGCAUGAAGCUGGCCAGCUUGCAGGGCUUGGACCCAGAAAUGAGCCCAGGUCCCCAGAUGCCCUACCUUGGGCCAACGAGCCCUGCUGCUAUCUUGCUCCAACCAGCCAGAGGCUCAGAGGCAAAAUAGCUGUUGGGAUCCAAGCAGCAGGCAGGAAGAUGGAGUUCUAGCAGGCAGCUGGGAGGAGUGAGGCUGGGACGCAAGAACACGGGUUUAUGUCCCUGGCUGUGCCACGCAUGACCUUGUGUAAGUCACUCCUUUCUUAAGUCUCAAUGUGCCUAUCCAUAAAACAGC